GGCUCACCUAGGCGACGAUACAUAGCCGACCUGAGAGGGUGAUCGGCCACACUGGGACUGAGACACGGCCCAGACUCCUACGGGAGGCAGCAGUAGGGAAUCUUCGGCAAUGGGGGCAACCCUGACCGAGCAACGCCGCGUGAGUGAAGAAGGUUUUCGGAUCGUAAAGCUCUGUUGUAAGUCAAGAACGAGUGUGAGAGUGGAAAGUUCACACUGUGACGGUAGCUUACCAGAAAGGGACGGCUAACUACGUGCCAGCAGCCGCGGUAAUACGUAGGUCCCGAGCGUUGUCCGGAUUUAUUGGGCGUAAAGCGAGCGCAGGCGGUUUGAUAAGUCUGAAGUUAAAGGCUGUGGCUCAACCAUAGUUCGCUUUGGAAACUGUCAAACUUGAGUGCAGAAGGGGAGAGUGGAAUUCCAUGUGUAGCGGUGAAAUGCGUAGAUAUAUGGAGGAACACCGGUGGCGAAAGCGGCUCUCUGGUCUGUAACUGACGCUGAGGCUCGAAAGCGUGGGGAGCGAACAGGAUUAGAUACCCUGGUAGUCCACGCCGUAAACGAUGAGUGCUAGGUGUUGGAUCCUUUCCGGGAUUCAGUGCCGCAGCUAACGCAUUAAGCACUCCGCCUGGGGAGUACGACCGCAAGGUUGAAACUCAAAGGAAUUGACGGGGGCCCGCACAAGCGGUGGAGCAUGUGGUUAAAUUCGAAGCAACGCGAAGAACCUUACCAGGUCUUGACAUCCCGAUGCUAUUUCUAGAGAUAGAAAGUUACUUCGGUACAUCGGUGACAGGUGGUGCAUGGUUGUCGUCAGCUCGUGUCGUGAGAUGUUGGGUUAAGUCCCGCAACGAGCGCAACCCCUAUUGUUAGUUGCCAUCAUUCAGUUGGGCACUCUAGCGAGACUGCCGGUAAUAAACCGGAGGAAGGUGGGGAUGACGUCAAAUCAUCAUGCCCCUUAUGACCUGGGCUACACACGUGCUACAAUGGUUGGUACAACGAGUUGCGAGUCGGUGACGGCAAGCUAAUCUCUUAAAGCCAAUCUCAGUUCGGAUUGUAGGCUGCAACUCGCCUACAUGAAGUCGGAAUCGCUAGUAAUCGCGGAUCAGCACGCCGCGGUGAAUACGUUCCCGGGCCUUGUACACACCGCCCGUCACACCACGAGAGUUUGUAACACCCGAAGUCGGUGAGGUAACCUUUUGGAGCCAGCCGCCUAAGGUGGGAUAGAUGAUUGGGGUGAAGUCGUAACAAGGUA
Molecule: ribosomal RNA, 1243 nt
Filed under: metagenome
Description: bacterial SSU rRNA
Rfam family: Bacterial small subunit ribosomal RNA
Source: RNAcentral